This is a long non-coding RNA of Pongo pygmaeus (Bornean orangutan), 2623 nucleotides long. RefSeq lists it as uncharacterized. The record is from RefSeq and is a predicted model, not a curated record. The transcript has 4 exons. NCBI's taxonomy places the organism in Eukaryota, Metazoa, Chordata, Mammalia, Primates, Hominidae.
AGGAGCCCAGCAGGCUUCCCCUAGUGAAUCCGGCGCUGGGGACACGCUGUCAGAGCUGCCUGCCAGUCCUGCGCCCACAUGCCCACACCCCUCAGUCCUUGGGCGGUCGAUGGGACCCAGCGCCUAGAAGCAGGGGGCCGCGCCCAUCCGAGAGGCUCCGGCAUGGCUGGCUGCAGGUCCCCAGUCUUGCCCCGCUGAGAGGCGGCUGAGGCCCAGCAAGAAUUCAAGCGCCGCGGGGGCAGGCCGGCAGUGCUGGGGGACCCGGCGCACCCUCCGCAGCUGCUAGCCCGGGUGCUAAACCCCUCACUGCCGGGCCGGCGCUGCCGGCCGGCGUUGGGCCGGCUGCUCUGAGUGCCGGCCGCGGAGCCUGCGCCCACCCGGAACUGGCCGCAGCCCCGGUUCCCGCCCCCGCCUCUCCCUCCACACCUCCCCACAAGCAGAGGGAGCUGGCUUCAGCCUCAGCCAGCCCAGAGAGGGGUCCCCACAGCGCAGUGGCGGGCUGAAGGGCUCCUUGAGCAUGGCCAGAGUGGACGCCAAGGCUGAGGAGGCGCUGAGAGCCAGUGAGGGCUGCUAGCACGUUGUCACCUCUCAAUACAUAAAACUACUGAAGGGUGGUUCCAAGAUGGCCAAAUAGGAACAGCUCCAGUCUACAGCUCCCAGCAUGAGCGACGCAGAAGAUGAAUGAUUUCUGCAUUUCCAACUGAGGUGGAUAUUGGAACAUGGAACAUUGAUUUUCCACUCAUAGACCAAAAGCUCCUAGAGAAUGUCUGAAUAGUUUUUGACUGAUCUCCCUUUGUGUCAUCAAAUCUUUGCUACCAACUAGAGGCUCUCCGGGAAGCAUGGUACUGACAUUGGCUAAGCCUCUGGUGAGGACUCAGGAAGUUUUGAUUCAUAGCAGAAGGAAAAGUGGGAGCAGUCACAUCACACAGCCAGAGCAGGAGCAAGGGUGAGAAGAGGUGCCACACAUUUUCAAACAACCAGAUCUUGCAAGAACUCACUAUUGCAAGGACAGCACCAAGUCAUGAAGGAUCCACUUCCAUGAUCCAAUCAUCUCCCACCCGGCCCUACCUCCAACACUGGGGAUUACAUUUCAACAUGAGAUUUAGAUGGGACACAUAUCUAAACGCUAUCAUUUACUAAACCAAAAUAAUGAAAAAUUCUAGUGUGUAAGCAAAUGAAAAAAAAAGCGUAUACAUAUCACCAGAAAUAGCCAGAUUGAAGAAUGGGCAGAGGAGCUCUAAGAGAUAAGAUGGAGCCCUGCAUUCCCACUCUCCUAGAACGGCCUUCAAAACUGCAUCAAGGUCCUCCAGCUUUCUCAAGACAUUUUGGUUUGUCUUUGGUUAGCAUUAGAAUAAAGUGCAGCUGAUGGUGCCAACGAAAUUUGGUUGCCUUGCUCUGGGCAUGAGCCUCAUUUUAUACAACGUACAAAUACAUAAAUUUCUUUUCUUUUUCUUCUUUUGAGACAGUCUCACUCUGUCAUCCAUGCUGGACUGCAGUGGUGUGAUCUCAGCUCACUGCGACUUCCACCUUCCGGGUUCAAGCAAUUCUUGCGCCCUAGCCACCCCACCCCCCAAGUAACUGGGCAUACAGGUGUGCACCACCACACCAGGCUAAUUUUUGUAUUUUUAGUAGAGAUGGGGUUUCACCAUGUUGGCCGGGUUGGUCUCAAACUCCUGACCUCAGGUGAUCUGCCUGCCUUGGCCUCCCAAAGUGCUGGGAUUACAGGCAUGAGCCACCAUAUGCAGCCUAAAUACAUAAAUUUCAUACUUAGAGGAAGCUUUGCAGAAUAAUUCACAAUAGUUUUCCUAUAAAUCAUCAGCUCUGAAAAUAAUUCAAGUUAUAUUCAGGUUACAGAUUUUACACAUGAAUUUUGGCUAUUUUACUGCUGUGUACCAUCAAGAUUUUUUUGAAAUUAUUUGUUUGUGAAUGGGUGUUAAUUUUCAUGGUUUAUAUAUACUAUUAUGGAGAGAGAACUUCAGAAUAAUUACUUUCAUUUUAGGUUACUACAUGAAUCCAGUGGUACAUCAAAUCAAUUAGUAUAUGCUAAUAAAUGGCUUACCAUUAAAUCCUAUAUUGUUGAAAUCACACAUUAAAUGAGUUUUUUUCUAAAUCAGAUCUCUAGAAAAUGUAAUUGACCCAUCCAGAUAAGCAACAAACUCCUACUAAUUGAAAACCAUAAUUCAUUUUAAUAUUAGCAAUAUUUCUAUCGUAAAAUAUAUCAUUAAACAUUCAGAAAUAAUUUCAAUUUAAAUUUUCUUUUUUAAUCAAAGUAAAUGGCUCAGCAAACUCAGUUUCUGAGUUUAUUAUUAAUUUUGUAUGUUUAAGGAAUUUUAUACUUAUAUACAUUAUAAUAUGAUGUAGCCUUGUUAUAAAUUCUAAUUUUGCUUAUAAGUUAUACAUUUAUUUUUUAUCUCUCCCAUAGGCAGUAAUAUGAAUUGAUGAGUUUUUGAAAUUCAUAUAAUUUUAAGAAUCCUAUAAUUCAAAUUUUUGACUUAGACUAGUCUGCCCCUUAUUACAGUUUAAUGAGGUUUUAUUACAUAUUUCCUAAUCAAUCAAUUACUAUACGAAGAAAAUUUUAUGUAGACACAAGGAACAGAAAUAUGCCCUCAAAGAGGAUGAAGCC